CAGCCGUAAACAAUGUGCAUUAGGUGUGUCGGUAACCACGCGUUACUGAUGCGCCGAAGAGAAAUCGUGAAACGCACCACCUGGGAAGUACGGUCGCAAGGCUGAAACUUAAAGGAAUUGGCGGGGGAGCACCACAACAGGUGGAGCCUGCGGUUUAAUUGGAUUCAACGCCGGACAUCUCACCGGAUAAGACAGCUGAAUGAUUGUCAAUCUGAAGGUUUUACAUGACUAGCUGAGAGGAGGUGCAUGGCG
RNAcentral lists this ribosomal RNA (252 nucleotides) under uncultured archaeon. RNAcentral's name for it is "partial 16S ribosomal RNA". It matches the Rfam family "Archaeal small subunit ribosomal RNA", at positions 748 to 999 of the family's 1478-position model. The record is from RNAcentral.